UACGAAGGGGGCUAGCGUUGUUCGGAAUUACUGGGCGUAAAGGGCUCGUAGGUGGCCAACUAAGUCGGACGUGAAAUCCCUCGGCUUAACCGGGGAACUGCGUCCGAUACUGGUUGGCUUGAGUUUGGGAGAGGGAUGCGGAAUUCCAGGUGUAGCGGUGAAAUGCGUAGAUAUCUGAAGGAACAUCAGUGGCGAAAGCGACUUCCUGGACCAGAACUGACGAUCAGGCACGAAAGCGUGGGGAGCAAACAGG
Molecule: ribosomal RNA, 253 nt
Filed under: uncultured bacterium
Lineage: Bacteria
Description: partial 16S ribosomal RNA
Rfam family: Bacterial small subunit ribosomal RNA
Source: RNAcentral